This 395-nucleotide ribosomal RNA is filed under the name uncultured bacterium. Its description in RNAcentral is "bacterial SSU rRNA". It matches the Rfam family "Bacterial small subunit ribosomal RNA", at positions 957 to 1354 of the family's 1533-position model. The record is from RNAcentral.
UAACGCGAAGAACCUUACCAAGGCUUGACAUACACCGGAAACGGCCAGAGAUGGUCGCCCCCUUGUGGUAGGUGUACAGGUGGUGCAUGGUUGUCGUCAGCUCGUGUCGUGAGAUGUUGGGUUAAGUCCCGCAACGAGCGCAACCCUCGUUCUAUGUUGCCAGCGCGUUAUGGCGGGACUCAUAGGAGACUGCCGGGGUCAACUCGGAGGAAGGUGGGGAUGACGUCAAAUCAUCAUGCCCCUUAUGUCUUGGGCUUCACGCAUGCUACAAUGGCCGGUACAAAGGGCUGCGAUACCGUAAGGUGGAGCGAAUCCCAAAAAGCCGGUCUCAGUUCGGAUUGAGGUCUGCAACUCGACCUCAUGAAGUCGGAGUCGCUAGUAAUCGCAGAUCAGCA